RNAcentral lists this ribosomal RNA (301 nucleotides) under uncultured bacterium. Its description in RNAcentral is "partial 16S ribosomal RNA". It matches the Rfam family "Bacterial small subunit ribosomal RNA", at positions 509 to 808 of the family's 1533-position model. The record is from RNAcentral.
CAGCAGCCGCGGUAAUACGGAGGGGGCUAGCGUUGUUCGGAAUUACUGGGCGUAAAGGGCGCGUAGGCGGCUGACACAGUCAGAUGUGAAAUUCCUGGGCUCAACCUGGGGACUGCAUUCGAGACGUGUUGGCUUGAGUGGAGAAGAGGGUCGUGGAAUUUCCAGUGUAGAAGUGAAAUUCGUAGAUAUUGGAAAGAACACCGGUGGCGAAGGCGGCGACCUGGUCUUAACUGACGCUGAGGCGCGAAAGCGUGGGGAGCAAACAGGAUUAGAUACCCCAGUAGUCCCUGUCUCUUAUACC